This is a long non-coding RNA of Malaclemys terrapin pileata, 2690 nucleotides long. RefSeq lists it as uncharacterized. The transcript has 3 exons. The record is from RefSeq and is a predicted model, not a curated record. NCBI's taxonomy places the organism in Eukaryota, Metazoa, Chordata, Testudines, Emydidae.
UGCAACAGGUACUGGUCUCAGAUCAUUAGCUCCUUAUAAGCCACUGUAGCAGCCAUCAGAUGGUAACCACAUUUGGCCUGUAUGUCCUGAGUCAGAAUUGUAGCAGGGAUCUAGCAAUAAAACACCAGGUGAGUGAGCUAGUCAGUUCCCCAUGGCUAAGCGAUUUUAACCUCUGGGCAGUGACCCCAAGAGUACUGAGAAAUGUCCAGGCUGCUCGUGGCCUGUUUCCACUUUGCUCAGGAAGUGGAGACUUCAAGUGGAGGAGAGGAGAUUACAGUCUCACCAAUGUCUCUCUUUCCUUUUAGUCUCAGUGGUAGGAGCCUGGGUUUGCUACGCUGCCAGCAUGAAGGUUUUGCUAAUCUUGGGGGCUUUUCCUCCUGCCUGUGGCUGCUCAUGGGAAGAUCUACGAAAGGUGUGAGCGGGCAAAAGCAAUGAAAAGGCUUAGGCUGGAUGGAUACUGAGGCUACAGCCUGGGACACUGUAAGUCUGCUUCCUUGGAGGAGAUGUCCAUGUGAUUCAGAGGGUAGGCAGGUGAUAUACCCAUUGAAUUAAUCCUAGACAUUAGAUAACCUAGGAGGUUUUUCCAUCUCUAAUCUGUCCUUGGCACAGGCUGGUUCCCUGCAGUGUAUUGCCUACAGCUGUGCUCAGUCUUGUUUAAAAUGUCCCAAGCAAUGGGAAUAUCACUUCUUCCCUGAAACCCUCCCACAGUUAAACAGCUUGCACUGUCAGAAACCUUUUCCUGACACCAGUCUGAGAGACCUUCCCCCAAUUCCAUCGCAUUAUUCCUAGUUAUAGCCUUUGUACAAUUCCACGUUUGAUGUUUGCACCCCUCACGCUCUGCUCUUUGAGCCUCACUGUAGCUGAGCAGGGAGACAGUGCUGGACUUGGGAUGCAGAGCACAGCACAAGGCCUGGGUGGGAGGAUCACCAGCAGCAUCUCAAAACCCCCAAUUCAAGCUUAUGUGAUUAAAUUCGAGACGAUGGGCUGAGGGAGAGGGAUCCUUGGAGAGCCUGGAUGGAGAGUAAGGGAUGGGGCAGUUUAGAAGUGAGGAAGAGAGGGGGAAUCAGGACUCAUAGAAGAGCACAUAAGACGAGUGGGCCCCACCGGCGAGAGAAGGGUGAGGGCCUUUCUUCAUUUGUUAGCAGUGAUAGGAAAUUAUUAUUCAACCAGUUUGUUUUUAAGGUUUACCUGUGUUCUGAGCCACAAUCCAGAGAGUUAAACACACAUGAUGUUUAUGCAGCCCUGAAUAUCUCAAAUCAAAGACUCCUUCCUUCUAACCUGACUAAUUCAGAUCCACUUGCUGUAAAUGAGGAAAGAAUAAGGGUGCUCUGGUUAAAGUUUACCAUCAUUGCUAGUACUUAUGCAGCGCCAUCUAUGGAAACAAAGGUGACGGCACUAGCGUAGAUAAAAUUUCAGCAGGUGCCGUGGUUUAGACUUAUUUUCAACAGGAAUGGACAAGGCAGUAUUAAAAUGCCAAUGGCUACCUGGAGCCCUCUUUACAGUAGGUCUUUCACCAUUGAUCCUCCCCCUGUUGGAAACAGCAGGAAAGAAAUGUUCCAUCUCACUUAACUGCAUUUUAUGAGUUCAUUACACGCAGAGUCAUUCCCUGCCAGAGAAAUGAUUAUGUUUCCCCAUGUCUUUCCUUAGUAAUAUUUAUUGGUUUUGAUUUGCAUGUUAAUAAUAUUUUCUUUAGAAAGGUGUUUGUCUCUGUAGCAUUUUACCCCAAAACACUGGUGUUUCCUUCAAAGAUGUAGGCCCCCUGCAGUGUUCAGAUGACAAUCAAAAGUUUUAUAUAUAGAAUGAUUUUUCUUACACUUCAUAUUUAAUAAGGAUUGUGACUCUCAUAAGAAUAAAAGGAAGAAAAGCUGGCUGUGUGUACUUUGUAUUAAAUCAUUUGCAUAAUCUACAAACAGGUGAUAGGGGUGUUUAGAUCCAUAUUUCUGUAAAAUAUCAAGCUAUGAGGAGUUUUUAUCAGCAGAGAAAAUACAUCAAUCUGUGUGUGGUUAUUUUUUUAAAACGGAACCUUCACAAGGGUGUGCACAGCAAGAUACGAGAGCGACUUUAACACAGGUGCCACGCAUUAUAGCUAACCUUCCAGAAGCACUGACUAUGGGAUUUUUCAAAUCAACAGCCGCUGUUGGUGCAAUGAUGGCAAGACUCCAAGAGCCAAGAAUGCAUGUGGAAUCCAGUGUCGUGCAGACAUUACAGCGAGUGUAAACUGUGCAAAGAGAAUUGUUCGCGCUUCCAAUGGCAUGAGUGCAUGGGUGGUGUGGAAAAAGUACUGGGGAGGAUGAGAUGUCUCCCGGUGGAUCAAGGGCUGCAAGCUGUAAAAUGUUGGGAUUUAUACCAGCUUGGUUCCCUUGCAAAUAAGCAGCUUUUCACAUAGAGCAAAAUGUUCCCUCUGCUUCUUCCCUUUUACAAUUAAUCAUGUUCAAAAUAAAACAAACUCAGGAGAAAGGUUUGCAGGGCACCUGACUGGUGAAAUGCAAAUAUUUUACUCCUUGCUGGUAAGACUGUGGAUCUUUCCAUGUAACGAGCUAAGGUAACUUAUUUUGUGUUAUACAAAGUUCAAAAGAUAUAUGAUUACCUCUAUAUUAUAUAUACACAUCCAGAUAAGUCAGAUCUGUUUUUCCUUUAUGAGAUCCUGCUACUAUUUUGUUGUGCUAAUUAGUAGUAUUGUGUCAUCUUGC